UCCCCGAGCUUAACUUGGGAAUUGCAUUCGAUACUGGUUGGCUACAGUAUGGGAGAGGAUGGUAGAAUUCCAGGUGUAGCGGUAAAAUGCGUAGAGAUCUGGAGGAAUACCGAUGGCGAAGGCAGCCAUCUGGCCUAAUACUGACCCUGAGGUGCGAAAGCAUGGGGAGCAAACAGGAUUAGAUACCCUGGUAGUCCAUGCCGUAAACGAUGUCUACUAGCCGUUGGGGCCUUUGAGGCUUUAGUGGCGCAGCUAACGCGAUAAGUAGACCGCCUGGGGAGUACGGCCGCAAGACUAAAACUCAAAUGAAUUGACGGGGGCCCGCACAAGCGGUGGAGCAUGUGGUUUAAUUCGAUGCAACGCGAAGAACCUUACCUGGUCUUGACAUAGUAAGAACUUUCCAGAGAUGGAUUGGUGCCUUCGGGAACUUACAUACAGGUGCUGCAUGGCUGUCGUCAGCUCGUGCCGUGAGAUGUUGGGUUAAGUCCCGCAACCAGCGCAACCCUUUUCCUUAUUUCCCAGCGGGUUAAGCCGGGAACUUUAAGGAUACUGCCAGUGACAAACUGGAGGAAGGCGGGGACGACGUCAAGUCAUCAUGGCCCUUACAACCAGGGCUACACACGUGCUACAAUGGUCGGUACAAAGGGUUGCUACCUCGCGAGAGGAUGCUAAUCUCAAAAAGCCGAUCGUAGUCCGGAUUGGAGUCUGCAACUCGACUCCAUGAAGUCGGAAUCGCUAGUAAUCGCGAAUCAGAAUGCCGCGGUGAAUACGUUCCCGGGCCUUGUACACUCCCGCCCGU
Molecule: ribosomal RNA, 799 nt
Filed under: Acinetobacter lwoffii
Lineage: Bacteria; Pseudomonadati; Pseudomonadota; Gammaproteobacteria; Moraxellales; Moraxellaceae
Description: bacterial SSU rRNA
Rfam family: Bacterial small subunit ribosomal RNA
Source: RNAcentral